UCUCCGUUGGUGAACCAGCGGAGGGAUCAUAACCGAAGUUACCUUCAAAACCCACUGUGAACCUUACCUCUUGCCGCGUUGUCUCGGCGGGAGGCGGUGUGCGUCGCGCGCCCUAGCGGGCCGCGCCGCUCCCGUCCCCGCCGGCAGCGCCAAACUCUAAAUGCACAGCGGACUGUACGUUCUGAUGUACAAAAAAAAAACAAGUUAAAACUUUCAACAACGGAUCUCUUGGUUCUG
Molecule: unclassified non-coding RNA, 237 nt
Filed under: plant metagenome
Description: partial contains small subunit ribosomal RNA, internal transcribed spacer 1, and 5.8S ribosomal RNA
Source: RNAcentral